AUGCUUAUGUCGAAAGCCAAUCCACAUGACGCUCCCGUUCUUCAUGAUCUUCACAUUCGUGCCAAGCGAGAGAUGACUGACGCAUCAAGGAAGGAUGCAAAGUCACUAACUCAAACAUACACAAGCAACACUUCGUUAGUGGCGAUUCUCAUUGCGACAAUCACCUUUGCAGCCGCCUUCACCCUUCCUGGAGGAUACAGUAGUGCUCCUGGAAGCGAGGGACUUCCCACCAUGUCUAGGAAGUUUGCAUUCGGGGCAUUCUUGAUUUCAGACGUCUUAGCAAUGUGCUCCUCAUUUGCUGUGGCAUUCAUAUGCAUCAUAGCAAGGUGGGAGGAUUAUGAGUUCUUACUUUAUUACAGAUCUUUCACUAAGAAGCUCAUGUGGUUUGCGUUCGUGACAACAACUACCGCAUUCUCAACUGGUUUAUACACCGUGCUGGCUCCACGUAUCCACUGGUUAGCGAUUGCAAUUUGUCUUAUGGUAGCUUUACUGCCUAUUCUCACGAAGGUGCUGGGCGAAUGGCCAAUCUUAAAGCUCAGAUUUAAGCUGGGUAAAGAUUUCAAGUCUGAUUUCCUUGACAUGGUGUGA
This 588-nucleotide ribosomal RNA is filed under the name Triticum aestivum (bread wheat). RNAcentral's name for it is "partial small subunit ribosomal RNA". The record is from RNAcentral. Lineage: Eukaryota; Viridiplantae; Streptophyta; Magnoliopsida; Poales; Poaceae.